RNAcentral lists this ribosomal RNA (425 nucleotides) under uncultured bacterium. RNAcentral describes it as "partial 16S ribosomal RNA". It matches the Rfam family "Bacterial small subunit ribosomal RNA", at positions 354 to 796 of the family's 1533-position model. The record is from RNAcentral.
GUGGGGAAUCUUGCGCAAUGUGCGAAAGCCUGACGCAGCCAUGCCGCGUGAAUGAUGAAGGUCUUAGGAUUGUAAAAUUCUUUCACCGGGGACGAUAAUGACGGUACCCGGAGAAGAAGCUCCGGCUAACUUCGUGCCAGCAGCCGCGGUAAUACGAAGGGGGCUAGCGUUGCUCGGAAUUACUGGGCGUAAAGGGCGCGUAGGCGGACAGCUUAGUCAGAGGUGAAAGCCCAGGGCUCAACCUUGGAAUUGCCUUUGAUACUGGCUGUCUUGAGUUUGGGAGAGGUGAGUGGAACUCCGAGUGUAGAGGUGAAAUUCGUAGAUAUUCGGAAGAACACCAGUGGCGAAGGCGACUCACUGGCCCAAUACUGACGCUGAGGCGCGAAAGCGUGGGGAGCAAACAGGAUUAGAAACCCCGGUAGUCC